Molecule: long non-coding RNA, 113 nt
Organism: Mastomys coucha (southern multimammate mouse)
Lineage: Eukaryota; Metazoa; Chordata; Mammalia; Rodentia; Muridae
Exons: 2
Source: RefSeq, a predicted model, not a curated record
GCGAAACACGUGGAGGAAACUCUCCACGCAUGUGCGUGAAGCUGUGGGGUUCCUUCGAUCAUGCCUGAUGGUGAACUAGAAAGGAACUACAUAAAGUUUCAUGGGUAACAGGA